RNAcentral lists this ribosomal RNA (384 nucleotides) under uncultured bacterium. Its description in RNAcentral is "partial 16S ribosomal RNA". It matches the Rfam family "Bacterial small subunit ribosomal RNA", at positions 338 to 733 of the family's 1533-position model. The record is from RNAcentral.
CCUACGGUGAGCAGCAGUCGAGAAUUAUUCACAAUGGGGGAAACCCUGAUGGUGCGACGCCGCGUGGGGGAAUGAAGGUCUUCGGAUUGUAAACCCCUGUCAUGUGGGAGCAAAUUAAAAAGAUAGUACCACAAGAGGAAGAGACGGCUACCUCUGUGCCAGCAGCCGCGGUAAUACAGAGGUCUCAAGCGUGGUUCGGAAUCACUGGGCGUAAAGCGUGCGUAGGCUGUUUCGUAAGUCGUGUGUGAAAGGAGCGGGCCCAACCCGCGGACGGCACAUGAUACUGCGAGACUAGAGUAAUGGAGGGGGAACCGGAAUUCUUGGUGUAGCAGUGAAAUGCGUAGAUAUCGAGAGGAACACUCGUGGCGAAGGCGAGUUCCUGGA